GGCUUACGUUCAGGCUCUCCUGUGCCCAGAGAGAGAAUAAAGCCAUGUUGAAACCGUCCACAAUUGCUUAAGUGUUUUUCCAGCUACCGCCACUCGCCUGACUCCCCUUGGACCUCAGUUAGAACCUGACAUUUGGCGCCAUGAACAGAUCCUGAGGACGAGGGAGCAGAUAACAUCUCCUGUUCUGCCUCUGAGGUGGAAAAGCUGGCCUCUAUCAUGACUCACCCCUCCCUCCAUCAGCAGUUGCAGAUUUAGAAGCAGUGGCGCCCUUCUUGUGGCAACAUUUGGCUGCAUGUGGUUGGGCCAUCAACAAAUCCAAGGUCCAACAGCCUGGAUUAUCUGCGAGAUUCCUGGGAGUUAUCUGGUCAGGUUGACAUGCUCCAACUGCAUUGUGGACUGGGCCCACACCUUCACUGAGGUGACCAAUGUUUCCAACUGUUGGAUCUGCACCAUCCUUCCAGGAGCAGCUGCAGAUGGCUUGCCUUGGCACAUACAUUCAGCAUCUGCAGAGAAAUGGACAUGGCUGGAGACUUUGAGUCCCAUGGCCGACACCUGGAAUGCGACAGGGCAAGCUGCAGACAAAGAAUUCCGCAAGACCCAUAGCAUGCCUGCCCCAUCUUGCCUGUAGCAUUUAUGAUGGGAGGGGCUGGCUAGUGGGGAAAUAUGUAGUACCCCCAGCUCAGGGACGGCAGUGCAUAGAGGAACACUGGGGUAACACCACUGUGGGAUGGCUACCCUGCAAGGCCUGUGUAAACAUAACACAUGUCACCACACCGAAGGUAUGGUGGAACAUGCGGCCCCACCCAAGGUCAGGCCCUGAUGGAUUUUAUGACCCCUGGGAGUUUAUGGGUCAUUGAGGACACAGGGUGUCCUUACCUACCAGCAGACUGGCCUGGACGUUGUACCUGAGUUUGGCCUUACGUACCUGGCACUGUUCUCCCUGCUUUGCCCAGAUGCCAGAAUAACUGGGAGGUGCUAUGCUCUCACUUUUUGUGAGUGCGAUGAGGCCCCUGGUGGUUCUUCACCUUGGAAGUGACUAUCCCUGGAGUGGGUAUCAUAACUGUAAAAGCAGAAGUUACUGCUUUUGCAGAGCACACCGCUCGGGCUCUGAAUCACACCCGAGGGGCCCUCCUCCUGUCAAUUGAUGCAGUUGAUCAGAUCAGGAAGGUGGUGUUGCAAAACCGAAUGGCCUUAGACAUAGUAACUGCUGCCCAAGGAGGCAUCUGUACCCUUUUAGGAACACAAUGUUGUACCUUUAUCCCUGACAGUCAGCAGAACAUAACAGCAGCCCUUCAAGGGGUCUCAUGGGAGAAUAAGUUUCUAGGGAGCCUUACUGAUGAACCCCUGCAGAGAAGGAGGGGCAUCCCUAGGCUCUGGCCUAUGCUGGGCCCCAAUAGUUAUAAAUAGCGUAACUGGGAUCCUAGUAGCUGUUGCUCUCUGUAUUGUUAUUGUGGGUUAUAGAUUCAGGGCUCUGCUGUAUGGGCACAUGUCUCUGCCCGGAGGACACUCUUGGCCUAGGGAGUGGAGGGUAAGGAAAAUGGCUGCACUUUAGUCAGGAAUAAGCUGAGGCAGCCUUCCAAAGCAGCAUAACUCAGUGGGUUUGGAGCACAGGUGCACAGCCCUGCACAUUAUGUAACCACACCAUGUGAGGUGCAUUAGGUGAUCACACACGUGCGCUCAUGUUUUGCUCAGAACCACUAUUGUCUGUAAAAGGUAUGGUUACCCUACUAAAGCUGUACAUAUGGCUCACCCCCAGGCUCACUCAUGCCCAGACUCACUCGCACUUAGAGAGAGUAAAGCCAAGUCAAAACUGUCUACGAUUCCUUGAGUGUUUCUCCAGCUACCCGCCACUCACCCCACCAACUCCCCUCGGACCCCAGUUAAAACCUGACACCACCCCUUUCCCUGUAAGAGGAGUGCAUUCCUGCCCACUGCCAUGCAGCUUUCUAUGUCCCCAGUGGGAGGCCCAUGCAUCCCUGUCCCAUCGGCUUUUGGCUUUGACCAAAGGAACAAAAGCAGACAUGACAGAGGCCACAUCCAAGUAGAAACUCUAAGAGGCAGGACAGGUGUCCACAGUACUCCUGGUCUUUCUUUCUGCUAUGAGAAUAGCAUAUCCCACUUAGGAAGCUGUUCCUUCAGCUUAAGUCCCUGAAUGGGAAACUGCUGCAGCCAAAGAAAGCUUCAGUCAAUGCAUAGUCUCCCUUUAAUAAACCUUGUGGUAGAAA
This 2225-nucleotide long non-coding RNA is filed under the name Homo sapiens (human). RNAcentral's name for it is "non-protein coding LINC02159:13". The record is from RNAcentral. Lineage: Eukaryota; Metazoa; Chordata; Mammalia; Primates; Hominidae.